UACGUAGGGUGCGAGCGUUGUCCGGAAUUAUUGGGCGUAAAGAGCUCGUAGGCGGUUUGUCGCGUCGGCCGUGAAAACUUGGGGCUUAACCCCAAGCCUGCGGUCGAUACGGGCGGACUUGAGUUCGGCAGGGGAGACUGGAAUUCCUGGUGUAGCGGUGAAAUGCGCAGAUAUCAGGAGGAACACCGGUGGCGAAGGCGGGUCUCUGGGCCGACACUGACGCUCAUGCACGAAAGCGUGGGGAGCAAACAGG
This 253-nucleotide ribosomal RNA is filed under the name uncultured bacterium. RNAcentral describes it as "partial 16S ribosomal RNA". It matches the Rfam family "Bacterial small subunit ribosomal RNA", at positions 524 to 776 of the family's 1533-position model. The record is from RNAcentral.